Molecule: ribosomal RNA, 486 nt
Filed under: uncultured bacterium
Lineage: Bacteria
Description: partial 16S ribosomal RNA
Rfam family: Bacterial small subunit ribosomal RNA
Source: RNAcentral
AUUGAACGCUGGCGGCAUGCCUUACACAUGCAAGUCGAACGGCAGCACGGGUGCUUGCACCUGGUGGCGAGUGGCGAACGGGUGAGUAAUACAUCGGAACAUGUCCUGUAGUGGGGGAUAGCCCGGCGAAAGCCGGAUUAAUACCGCAUACGAUCUACGGAUGAAAGCGGGGGACCUUCGGGCCUCGCGCUAUAGGGUUGGCCGAUAGCUGAUUAGCUAGUUGGUGGGGUAAAGGCCUACCAAGGCGACGAUCAGUAGCUGGUCUGAGAGGACGACCAGCCACACUGGGACUGAGACACGGCCCAGACUCCUACGGGAGGCAGCAGUGGGGAAUUUUGGACAAUGGGCGAAAGCCUGAUCCAGCAAUGCCGCGUGUGUGAAGAAGGCCUUCGGGUUGUAAAGCACUUUUGUCCGGAAAGAAAUCCUUGGCUCUAAUACAGUCGGGGGAUGACGAUACCGGAAGAAUAAGCACCGGCUAACUACGUG